UACGGAGGGGACUAGCGUUGUUCGGAAUUACUGGGCGUAAAGCGCACGUAGGCGGAUUUGUAAGUCAGGGGUGAAAUCCCGGGGCUCAACCUCGGAACUGCCUUUGAUACUGCAAAUCUCGAGUCCGGAAGAGGUGAGUGGAAUUCCUAGUGUAGAGGUGAAAUUCGUAGAUAUUAGGAAGAACACCAGUGGCGAAGGCGACUCUUUGGCCUGUAACUGACGCUGAGGCGCGAAAGCGUGGGGAGCAAACAGG
RNAcentral lists this ribosomal RNA (253 nucleotides) under uncultured bacterium. RNAcentral describes it as "partial 16S ribosomal RNA". It matches the Rfam family "Bacterial small subunit ribosomal RNA", at positions 524 to 776 of the family's 1533-position model. The record is from RNAcentral.